RNAcentral lists this long non-coding RNA (18534 nucleotides) under Populus trichocarpa (black cottonwood). RNAcentral describes it as "long non-coding RNA (PTRI_LNC004206)". The record is from RNAcentral. Lineage: Eukaryota; Viridiplantae; Streptophyta; Magnoliopsida; Malpighiales; Salicaceae.
GUUGCGUAAUUAAUUAAUUGGAAUAGAGGGCAUGUAUCCCAUCAAUAUCAUCCUGGGCGAGAUCUCUUUUCUUCUUUCCAGCUUCUAUCGUUGGAUACAUGAUGGCUUCGGGAUGAUCUGUACUAUGAUGAAGGCCAAGCAGAUGUCCUAUUUCAUGAACAGUAACGGAUUCCAGGUCAGUUUGAUCCAUUGCGGGGUCAGUGCUCCAGUUCUCGUCUGCAUCGUAAUGGAGACGGCCGUCUUGUGGAUAAAAAGCAUGAGCCAGUGUUUUCCCUGGUCCAUCAAAAGGAUACCGGUCCCCAUGAUCGCCGCUGUAGAACUCAAUUACAAUAUCUGCUGAUGCACCGGCAGUCGCCUCCUGGAAAGUGAAUUUAGAAACCUUUGCCCAUGUUUGGAAAGCUUUUGAGCAGACCGACCUCAAGGUGUCCGAACCAACAACUUGGACACCGGAGCCAAAUCUGUAGGUCAGAGCAUACUUGGAAGGUGGCCACUUUUCUGCCCCGAAAGCAUAAUGAGCCACCAUGUGGACCUUCUUGUGUUUUGAUUUAGUGCUGUUCGGUUUGGUGGACGGAGUGUUUAUGAUAUCAGGCGUUCCACAUCGUGGAAUCACCAUUUGUUGUAUGGUACUAGAGUCGAGGUUACCAGUAACAUUCAGAUGAAAAUAUUCUUGGUAUGUUUUGAGUGCUAGCUCCAAGUGGUCAUCAAAAUCACUGCUUGUGAGAGUGAUAUCAUCACUUGGGUAGUACCCAAGCUUUUUGAGAUAUUGUUUGAGCUCAAUAAGCCCUUGCACAGUUUGGCCCUUUUUAACCCCUUCCAGCCCUUGAAGGAAGCUGCUAAAAGAUUGCCGAUGCUCGGGUUUCAAAGUUCUUGCCAGACCUCUGAAGGACUGGAUAGAAAAGAUAACGAGGAUUGCUGAUAAAAGAUGGGAAAGAUUAGGAGCCAUAUAUUAUGUUGUUUCGGAGAAUGGCUUCAGACGUGGGUUGUGGCUUUCAAUUCUAGUAUCGGAUGGCUAUUUAUAGGCAUAGUAUGUUGUAUUGGCAUUAGGACUAUAGAAUAUGUCUUGAGAUUUACUACUAUCCUUAUUUUUGUUAAUUCUGAUUACUUAUUUUCAAAUAUUAAUUAUUUAGACUACAUUUUUCCUUCAAGCAUCUAAUUUAUUUAUUUUCUUUCGUAGUAAUCAAUGAAAUUACUAUCUGAAUAUUUGAGUUUAACUUUCAUUUAUAUAGUUAUUAUUAGAUAUCUCUAUCCAACAAAAUCAACAACUUCAUUGUGAUUGUUUUUUAUGUAGCUUUUGUGGUUGUGAUUUUAAAAAAGUGCGGUUAGCUGUGGUUAGUUAGAUUUAGAUACGUGUUUGGUAAAAAUUGUGAUUGAAGUUUAUGUGUAGUAAAAAAACAUACUAAAAUGUUUGGUGGAAGUGUGGUUGCAGUUGCUUUUUAAAGUGCUUUUUACUUGGAAAUGUAUCAAAAUAAUAUUUGUUUUAUUUUUUUAAAAUUAUUUUUGAUAUCAGCAUAUCAAAAUGAUCUGAAAACACCAAAAAAAUAUUAAUUUGAAGUAAAGAAAAAAAUAAAAAAUUCUUAAAUUUUUUCAAAAGCGUUUUUGAAACGCUAAAACAAACAGGGUUUUACAAAACUCAGUUAAAAAAGCAUGUAAAAACUGCUUCACAAAAACUGCGUUUCAAACUCAAUUUUUUAGUGGGUCUCGUAGUAUAAAACGCAGUUUGGUUUGUUACCAAACACCUUGCCGCGUUUAUUGCACCGCAAACACAAAAGCAGGUGUAAAACAAAUGCAACCUUCUACUAUUAAGAAAGUACAUCUCUAUUCCGUGUCUCAUAAAUUUAAAUUAUCAAAUGGCUAAUCCUAAAUUGAAUCAAAGUUUUAUUUAUCAUUUCAAUAAUUUUAUUUUUGUCUUUGUUAGUCUUGAAUGAUUAAAUAUAGUAUAUUCUUUUAAUAUAUCUUUUUAUUUAAUUCAUUUAAAUAAUGUUGUUGAGAAGGAGCGCUCAAAAAAUAAAUGAUCAUGGGUUUCCACAUGUAAACCACACAAAAUACAUACAGUAGAGGUGAUGAUCUGAAAAGUCUGUAGUCUGUUAAUAGUGUGUAGACGACCCAAAAAGACAAGCCAUAAGAUGAAGGAGUGUCAUGGGACAUGUCCUAGAAACCAAAGAAGAUGGUGCAUAAUAUUCUUGGGCCUGGUAUCUGGAAGUGCCUCCCAAGAGAUCCAAAAGAGAUGCUUUCAAAUCAUUAUCCACACCUUAUAUGAAAACAUGACUCUUCUCUAGGUUGAUCAUCAGCCUUGAUAACACAACAAAGUCAUCCAGAGCCCUCAUCACAACACCCACUGAAUUGGUGUCUGCCUGACAAAAUAUCAUAAGGUCAUCAACAAAGAAUAAAUGAGUAAUACUCUCGUGUUGACACCUCUAGUGAUAGUGGUAUCUCUGGUUCUAAGCAGCCUUUCUAAGAAUACCAUCAAGCCCUUCAUAGCCAGCACAAACAAAGUUAGCUACACGCAUACUUUGGUUACGAGACAGCUUAGGGGCAUACAAUAUGUGCCAAGGACAACUAAACUAUCACAAUUCUCUGGGUUAUUCAAAGACCAAUCCGCUUUAGAAGUUAUGGAAAACAUCAAACAAGAUUGGAAGCUUUUGGUAUCGAUAAAAAAAAAAGAAUUAGAUGGUUUGAGAGAUCUAGUCACUAGUGAAAAAUACCCGAGGUGGAGAAAUCUAUCAUUGGUGACUUUCUUCAUGAAUCUCGAAUUCAAAACGGAAACUUCACAAACCGCUGAACUAAAUAAGAGAAAAAGAAUUAACAACGAGGAAGAGUUGAGAGAACAACUGGAAAAGCUCUAUGUAGAAUUGGGCACCAAUAAAGCCCUCAAGAUCUCCCUCGAGGAACAACUCUUCAUUGAAGAUAAACUGAGGAAGUUUAUGGAGUAACAGUUGAUGAACUGACCCUUAAAUGUAAAAGCUUUCACUGAACAUGAAUGAAAAGGGCAUGGACCCAAUCUUCACAGCAACAUUUUGUAUUGAUGAGUAUAAAUUUAUUAGGAAUUGGCUCAAAUCAAAUUGUCUCGACAGUUAUAAAAGGAUAAAAAUCUUACCCAAAUGAUAGCAUAUAUCAGUCAGAAAUUUGGCUAAUCCACAUUCAAAUAUGCAUCAUCAUGCAUAAUUAUACAUCCAUAUGCACUUGUGUUUAUGAAUUUCAAAAUAUGCCUAACAGGUAUUUGAAAUUUAGGUUCCCCUACUAAAAUCUACAAUACUAGGUUUUGUAAAAGGAUGGAAAAUGAUGAAAGGGCUCACUACCAAAAAGAGUUGGAUGAUGUUAAGAAUAACAUGGCUCGGGUGACUAGUUUACUCGACCAACUCUUGUAAGCACAGUCAGGGGAAGGGACAUCCAGUCAGCAUCCGACUCUAUAAUCACCGCUAGUAGCUCUAGUUAUCAUUGACCCACAAAACUUGGAAACAAAUCCCACCGCUAGACCACAAGGAACAAAAAACAUUCCAAUUACUCACCCAAUUAUGCCUGCUCAAGUACUAACCAUAAUAGAUCUAACUAAAGGGGAAUCCCAUGGGGUUAAAUCUUUUGGUCACCCUAAACAAGAUAAGUGGGUUGCCUGGGAGGAGAGGUUUAGAGUUGUUGAGGGAUUUGACGUCUAUGACUUAGUUAGAGCAGCUGAGAUAUGCCUAGUACCAAAUGUAGUGGUACCCAAAGAGUUUAGAGUGCCAGAAUUUGUCAAGUACACGGAGUUAGAAUGCCUUAAUACACACCUGAGGUCAUAUUACAACAAAAUGACGGAGGUCAUAUAUAAUGACAAGUUGCUCAUCCAUUUCUUCCAAGAAACUUGACUAGUUUCACGUUAAGCAGAAAAUAUAAGAAUAAUAUAUAUGUCAAGUGUAUGGAAAGUAAUUUUAAUAAAUACAAGACUAUUCAGACAUCAUAUUUUUAGGUAAAUAAAGGAUGAAAAACAUCUUCUUUUUAUUGGCUUCAUUCUUGUGAUAUAUUACUUGAUAGGUUAGAACAUGUAAAUUAUAAUUCUAUAUACAAGUCAAUUAAUUUUGAAUUAUUAUUAAGUAUUGUUUUUUUUAAAAUAAAGUUUAUAUUGAAUCAAAAUUCAUAAAAAUUUUGGUAUCAAAUCAAGUCUCCUUCUUGAUCUUCCUCUCCAUCUCUUUGUUGAUGUAGAUUUUUAUUGUCCGACAAAAAUAGAAUGUAAGUUACUCAAUGUUUUAAAAAUUAUUAUUUAAUUACUAAAAUACACAUUAUUACUUAUAAUAACCGGUUAAAAAGGUACCUUAAUGAAUAAAAAGGACAUAAUAUAAUACCUAAUUAAUUAUAUUAUUUCAAUUUUCCAGGGUAUCACACUAGUUUCGAUUAAGAUUUUAGAUGACAACCUUACUCAAAUUAAGAUCUAUAUAUGGCAAUAUAAAUUUCCGGAAGUAUAUUCAAAAUAAUCAUCAAGUAAGAGGCCUUAGUUUCAUAACCAAAAGAACCGGUCUUCUUAUCAACAGCAGAAGCAAUCCUUCUUUUCUUUUCUUUUUUCCUUUUCUAUUUAUAAGCAAAAUAGUACCAGGAACGCCUAUGAAGAGGCAGCAGGAAAUUGUAGCUAAAGAAGAUUAAAAACAAAUCACACUAUAUUACUAUCAAAACUCAUGCCACUGCUUCUAAAGUGCAAGACCUCAUCAGAAGCAGAUACCAAGACCAAUCAACUCGAGAAAAUUCAAUCCUAUGGGAGCAUCUUGGGUUUUCCUUUAUGAUGGCUAUCGGAUGUCCACAGCAUUACAACUGGAGUUUUGCUCCGCAUCAAACAACUCAUCACGUCGGUAUUAUGUAUUCAUCCUCGCCGGGCCAAGGCAAAAGUGUCGUCUUCAUGGGACAGAUUUCUCUUGUAAGGUAUGGAAAAUAUCGGCAUCAAUUCCAUCUCCAUCUCCGAUCUUUCCUUGCAUCAAAUGUUUUGUUUGAUCUUUUGGGCCAGGAGUUUGGGAUCCAAUGAUGUAAGGGUAAAAUAAUGAUUCGUGGUCAUCAGCAAGUCUAUGGGAUUUGGUAUUCAGACUUCAUAUAUUUACAAGUAUCCUCCGACAACUCUUGAUAUCUCGUCGAUGCAGUCAUGGCAACAGGAAGUCUAUGGGUUUUGGCCGUAAAUGGCGCCGAGAGAGCCCUACCAUCAAAUGCAUUAUCGUCUUCAGCUUCAUUAUCGUUUGUCCUUUCCAACACGUACCAAAUGGUUUGCCCUCCGAUUCAGGUUGAUGCAUCUUUCAGUCAGCAUUAAGGCUCGGUAAUUAUAUUUCCAAUGAUAAAGAAACUUUUGGAUCUAUGCCCACUCCAUAAAGAUUUUAUUGUUAUUGGUGAGAUAACUAGAUUAAACUUCUUCAAUCUUUAUAUUUUCUCUUGAAGUGAAAGCUAAGGAUAUCUACAAAUAAAAGAAAUUCCAAACCUAACAAAAAAUUGAAGUGUACAUUAAACUUAUAAUUGAAUUUGGCCUUGUUGCUUAAAUUCUGAUUCUUUAUAUAUGAUUUUAUUGAUAUUUUAUUGCAAAAUGGAUUAUUAAAUCUCAUCAUUUUAUCAUCAUUAAUUCUUUUUAUUAAAAAGAAUAUUUUACGGCCAAUUCAUUUCAUGACAAUGAAUGAAUUUAUUUAACAUAUUAACGAUUUUUACUUUAUUGAAAAUAUAUUUUAAUAAAAAAAUUUAAUAGAUAGUUAUGAUGUUAUAUUAUUAUGAAAUAUAAAUAUAAAUAAAAAAACUCAAAGAAGGUAAGUUUUAUCACUCAACAAAUUUAAAAUGGAUAAAAAUAACAAUUGGAGUGUGAAUAGCUAGUGCUUUCAUUCUUUUUAUGAGAAUUAUGGUGUACUUUGAAUUGGUUUCAAAAUCUAAUGUAGAAACUCCCUUCAUACUAUGAAAUAAUUUGUCUUUGUCAAUUGAAUAUAAAAUUAAAAAAUAGCAAAAGAUAUUACCUUUGGAAACUAAGAGGAUAAUCUUUAGAGAAGUCCCCCUUCCCUCUCAUCAAAUUAUAUUAAAAAAUUAAGGAAUCAAAUUUUAAUAUCUUUUAUAGAAUUUGAUAGGGAAUUAGGGCCCAUCUUCAAGAUAGAGAUUAAAGAGAAAAUCAUUCUUAAAAAAUGAAUAUCUCCACUUUAGAAAUAAGUGUUUUGAUUUAUAUCUCCUCUUGAUAUCUAUUUUUCUCUGUAAAAUAAAAAUUAGUAUUCAUUAGUUACUACUGAAGUAACACAUGAAAUAUUUUAGUGAAUUAGAUCAAUUAAUCUAAAUUUCUAUAUUUAAAUAUUGCACUUGACCCAAUUGCAAUUGUGAUUUGAUUUCAGUAUAAUUGACGAAACCCAAAUGUGCUCAUUAAUUGUUAACAUCGAAAGUUUAAAAAAGUUGAAUGUGUUAAAAUCACUCGAAACCUAUAUAAAUAGAUACAUAUGAUUAAAAUGAAAAAACGAAGAGACACAAAAUAUUUAUAAUUCUUCCAAAUAAGUUUUAUUUAAUUCAACAAUUUGUUUAACAAUACUAAUGAUGUUGUUGAGUAGGAUUAUAGUUGAUAAUAAUAAAUAAUUGAUGAAAUCUUCAUGUUAAAACAAUACUAAUGACGAGAGGGAAGAUUGAAAAACAGAGAGGAAUUGUUUUGAGAUAUAGAGACGAGAAAAGAGAGAAAAUAGAGUAGAAGAGAGAAGAACCUCCACCGUCUGCCUUCUUCAAUAUUGCCGCCAUGAGAACCGCCUUGAGCCACUGUCGACAGCAGCUCUGUAAACCCCCGGUUAUAAUUUUUCUGGGUAUUUAAAAGAUGAGAAAUUUAACCAAUAGUAAAAGGGGUUAAAUUAAAUUAAAGAAACCUAAAUCAAGAUAAAAAUAGUGAAAUUAAUGAAAUGAAAAGUCAAUAUAGUACUAAAUUAUUGAAAAGAAAAACAUUUGUGAGGACAAAAUGAAUAUGUAAAAUCAAGAGAGGUCAAUAUUCAAAUAACAGAAGGUUGGGAGUUUAUGUACAAAUGAUAAAAAGGGGUGGGGAUAAAUGUGCAAUUAACAAGAUGUUAGAACUAUAAAUAUCAUUCUAUUUUCUCUCUUGGAGGAACUGACAAGAGUAAGAGAGAGUUUAGAGAGAGGCUGGACAGAAGACAUAUUGAUGGCAGAACAUCCGACAGCUAUAACUCCACCUUCCACCGUUGGAUCAGAACGAUAUUCAGAUAUAUUAUUCUCAUCCAUGUCAUGUACAUUUUCACUAUAGGGAUUUUCUAUAUGAGUCUCCGGUUGAGAGAUAUCGAGGGGGGAAAUAUCUGGGAAAAUACACUUCUGGACAAUCUUCUUUGCUGUCUGUUUUCUCUUUCGGCCACUGUUGGAUUAGGCUAUAAUUUGGAUAUGUUGUUCUUCCUGAUUCUGUCUAGACUCUGAACGGUGGAGAUCUGAAACAAACAUUCGGUAUAGAAGUUGUGUAUCUCACACAGUAGGUCUGCAAGUUUGAAGUCAGUUCGGUUAAACCCAUAUUUCUAGAAAUCGCACCAUUUGAUGAAGUUAAUAUUUGGAUAUGUUAUACUCAUAAUAAUGCAUUAUAACUUGACAGUAUGGAUUGUUUGGAAUAUUAUUCGUUUGUUAUUUAUGGUUGAUUGAAACUGUUUUCAAGGAUUGUGUUUAGAAGAAUAUUGUUCGGAAAGUUUGUAAAAUCGAUAAGAAUGUUUUAUUUUGACGUUAAGAGGGAAGAUUGAAAUAAAUAAGGUAAAUUGGCUCUUAAAAAGAUAUUUUUUUGACACUCUUAAAUGAUAUGUGAUAUGGCCAGGGGUUGAGAUAAAAGAGAAAAAGUUAAAUUAUGGAUGUUGUGUGUAAAUGAAAAGGUUGAUGAAUCUGGACAGAUUCGUCUCCUGACUUUUAAAGAGAAUUUGAGUAGGAGGAUGAGAGAAUUAGGAUCAAGUUUCUUCAUAGUAAUUGUAGUUUUGGAUGUUAGCUAACUAAGAAAAAUUGGUCUUGCUCAAUAUGGAGCUGUAGAACCCUAGCUAUGGGUCAUCAACUGAGAUUGGGUCCUGAUAGACCCUGUAGGGUAGUGUUUGUUGAUGAGCAAUUUUGACUAUUUCAGAGGCAGAACUGGGUUCUCCUUACUCAGAGAACUUGUAGCCUCGUGUAUUAGCUUUCCAACGAGACUAAUCUCGCUUGAAACAGAGUUCUAUAACUUUAGAUAUAGUUAAAAAUAUGAUGAGUGUUCAGACAAUGACAGUUGGACAAUAACAGUUCAAUAUCUAGACAGUAACAGUUAGAUAGUAACAAUUGGAAAUUUGACAGUAACAGUUCAAAGUUAGACAGUAAUAAUAAACUUUGACGUGAAUACUAUAUAAAAGAAUUGAGUCAUACGAACACUUGCACAUUGAGAUACUAACUCUAAAAAUAUACAUGAUAUAUGUAUGUAUGUUAUUAUGAGGAAAUGAACAUGCAUAAAAAGUAACAUAUGAGUAAUGGAUGAUUAUGGAUUCUCUGUAAUAUUGGACUGAAGGAAUGAUAACUAUGGUUGGAUAAAGGAUGACAACAUUAAUGGGUGUAAUGAGAAAAACAUGAGAUAUAAAGAAAGAAAUGAUUGAAAGAAAGAUUUAUUAGCUAUUGAUAUGAUUAUUAUAAAACAUAUCCUUGAAUGAGGAAAAUUUAUGAGAUGAGUUUGUGACUAUAGGAAGGACCACCUGUGUGGUGCAACAGCAGCAACAUGGGAGCACAAGUAGAGCUUCUACUGCAGGUAGGUGACUUUCACCUUCCUUUUAAAUAAUGUUGAAUAAUGAAAAUACUUUAUCAUGAAUAUUACUGUAUUGUGUUAAUUCAUAUACCAGAUUGUCAAAUGCUUAAAUGUAAACAAUUUAUUAGCUUCGGCUAAUGGCAUUCGAAGGGAUGACCGGGACAAACGAGUGAUUAGCUUUGGCUAAUGGCAUCCGAUAGGAUGGCCGGGACAAACGAAUGAUUAGCUUUGGCUAAACAAAUGAAUGAUUAGCUUUGGCUAAUGGCAUUCGAUGGGAUGACUGGGACAAACGAAUGAUUAGCUUUAGCUAAUUGCAUCCGAAGGGAUGGCCGGGACAAAUGAAUAAUUAGCUUUGGCUAAUUGCAUCUGAAAGGAUGACUGGGACAAACAAUUGAUUAGCUUUGGCUAAUGGCAUCCGAAUGGAUGACGGGGAAAAUUGAAUGAUUAGUUUUGGCUAAUGGCAUCCGAAUGGACGACCGGGACAAAUGGUUGAUUAGCUUUGGCUGAUGGCAUUCGAAGGGGAUGGCCGGGGUGAGUGAACAGUUAACCUCGACAAAUGAUGUCUUAAAAGAAUGGCUGGAUUUAAGAUUAUGGUUGAUUGUAAGAAUUGGUGCAUAUAUAUGUACUGCAAGUUGUGUAUACCAAGAACAUGAAGGAACUACAAAUGUCACGCUUCAAACAUGAGAUAAUGUUAAUGCUUCAUUAAAUUGCCAGACCAUUUUCUUCUUAUUAUUAUUAUUAAGUAAUUGCAUUCUUGUAAAUGUUUUGUACUGCAGUAGGGACGUCAUACCAACAAGGUGCCUAGAAAACGCAAUACACGGGAACCUACUUUUGCAAGGAAUCAUGUAGUUGCAUUCUAAAUCAUGAUGUAUUUUAUAUGAAUCAAUGUACUGAAUGUAUAACUAUUAUUAGAUCAUUUUAGAUUAAAUUCAUGAUGACUAUUUGUAGGAUAGAAUACAAACUCAUAUCUAUACAUGUAUAUUUUAAAUGCGAACUUAUAAUCAUGCAAACAUAAUAUUAUGAGUUUAUGUAAGAUUCACUUUUAACUGAAAAUGUUGAUUGUUGUUGAUGUAUGGAUUGUAUAUUGAUGAUGUGAAGGGAACAUGUUCGUCGAUUACCAACACGAUGUGUGUCAAGUACAAAAAAAAUAAAAAUUUACUGUUGUUUUGGGCUUGAAAAGUCGGGUUGUUACAAGCUCCACCACCAGCAGAAACAGAGGAGAAACCGAAACAAAACAGAGAAAAGGAGAAAGAACAGGAGGGAGGGCAGAAACAAAGGGCAAGGAAAACACAGAAAAAAGAACCACCAACCACCCUCAGCUCCCCAGUCUGCCACCGUUAGCGCCAAUAACAACGCCAUCGACAGUAGCUCCACCAUCGUCAGAGACCGAAGAAGAAAUGUAGAAGCAGGAGAAUAGAAACAAGGAGAAAAGGAAAACAUAGGAAAACAGAGAGAAAAACAAAGAAGAACCACCGUUUGGAAUCAUCCGUCCUCUGCGCCAUUCUUCCUCAACACUGCCACCGCUUGCCACAGUCAACACCAGCACCGCCACCACUGCCAGGUCAACUUCUUCUUCUUCGUCGUCCUCGGCUGCUCCACUAUUUUGCAUGAACAGUAAAGAGUCCUCCAUUUUUCACUAGGCCAGACAAGUUCGGCCCAACUCAAAAUGAGUGGGUCGAGUCCGGCUCAGUCCAAAUUUUUUUUAAAAAAAAAAUCAUUUCGAAAAUUUGUGAUUUUUCUGCAUAUUUUUCUGUCCAUUUUGAUUAGUAUCGGUUUGUAUUUUAAUAUCAUAAGGAUACGAAUCUGGUUUUCAUCGAAACGUUGCAAAAAAUAAAAAAAAUAUCUUGUUUUCAUGCAUAUGACCAAGUCUUAAUACGACAAAAAAUCAUAUCGUAUUUUCAUACGACAAAAAAUCAAAAAUAUGUGUUAGCAUGUAUUUUAGCUUUAAUAACCAGGUUAUUAAAGCCACGAGAACUUGGUCAAUAUUCCAAAAAAUUUCAAAAAAAUCAUUUUGUUUUCUUUUAGUAUCCGGGAUUACAAAUUUAUACAUACAACGUAUUCCCAAUAUUAAAAAGAUAUUUCUUUUUAUUAACGUUAGAACGGUUAGGUUUUACCCGAUAAGAUAAAGAUAUGCUUACCGAGGAUGACUUUUCUUAAACUAUAGACAGACCAACAUAUAGACGUUAGCAUAUAUUAGACAAUAAAACAAUACAACUUACCUUAGGUAGGGCGUAUUUGAGUUGCUAAUACUUUCACUUUACGCAACUAGUCCCCGUGCCCGAUCUCUGAGACCAGUUAGGGUUCCUAGUGACCAAAACACUAGGUGACGACUUUCAUUCCAUCAUUCCACCGAUAAAAGACAAGAAUUCUCUGAGUGGACAAUCAUCGCGACGCCGCAUACGUGCGACAACAUGAAAGUCAUAUUGUAUGGAAUUUGUAUGAUGUGUUUCUUGAGAGAAAGCUUGUAUUAUUCAAAAUAAACUUUUAUUAAGUGUAAAUUAUUUAAAAUAAUAAUAAUUUUAUUCAGAACCUUUAUAAAUCUAUACAUAUAAUUAAAUCUAAUCAUAUAAUUUUUUUAAAAAAUUAUUUGAUUGCUGUCUUGCGCUUCUAUUAUCGUGGAAUUAAGUAAAAUAUGAUUUUAUAAAAUAAAGUUGUUAGACCUCACUGAGUCAUUUGUUUGGCAUGUAUACUGGAGUUGAUUCAAGAUAUCAUCGUCUUAAUAUUUGAAGAACAAUGUUAAAAUGUUGAUGUCUUCAAUUCUUUCUAGUCAAACUAGAUUUUUACUAGGUCGAUUAGAUCAAACUUUAACUUACUUAGUUGAUUGGAUCAUAUAAAAGUAAAAUCUAACCCAAUUUAGCUUAACACCUAAGCUAGGAGAGGGCUAAACUCAAAAUGUCUAUGAUUUUAAUUGAAAUUCAUUAAAACAUUAACAACACCUGUAAAUACAUUUUUCUUUUUGCCAUCAAAUUUAAUUUUUUAUCAUACCUACAAUGUAGCUUGGUUAAGUUAAUUAUGGAUCAUCUUACUACUUUUGUUUUUCAAAUUUUGUCAAGAAAUACUGCUAAAACACAUAUUAGCAACAAUUAUAUAUAUAUAUAUAUAUAUAAAUUAAUCCUACCUCAUGCAAAACACGUGCCACUAGCUAGGUUAAUUUAAAGCACCACUUGCUUUGCGGUAUUGGAGAGAAUGUAGUCAUCAUAGAUUCUGUUUGGAAAACUGAUCUUCGAAGAGAUUAGGAGCUGGAUAUUGUCUUCCUCUUCCUCUUUUUUAAUAUUUAUCUAUAUCAUAUUCCUCGUCUUAUUCUUCACCACUGUAAAGGGAUAUUUGAAAGGAAAAAAAAAUUGUAAAGUUUUAUUGUGUUUUUACUUUCCCGUCAUAUAUAGUUUUAAAAAAUACAUUUAAAAUCCUAGGUCAAAUAAAAAUUUAAAAAUAAUAAUAAGAAAAUAUUAUCAUAUAUAAUAUAACACAAAUAAUAACUAUAACUAUGAUAUCAAUGUUCACUAGGGUUCCAGAUUAUAGCUAUUUGAUUAUAGAAUUAAAAAGUGAGUCAGCCAGAAGGUAGUUAAUUGGCAUUUCACAGACAUAAAAUGGGUGUUUAUAAGUGAGGUGGUAAUUAUUUUUUAAAGUGUUUUUUGACUUGAAAAUGCAUCAAAAUAAUAUUUUUUAUUUUUAAAAGAUUAAUUUUGACAUUAACACAUCAAUAAUUUGAAGUAAAGAAAAAAAUAAUUUUUUUUUUUUAAAAACCUUUUGAAAUAUAAAAACAAAUAGCCAUAAUAACAAGCAAAACAUCAGAUGCAGUUAAUGAUUCUUAUAAGAUUUAAUCAAUUAUUUUUGGAACACGACAGUUAAAACCUUUGAAAUUGAAGCAUGCACCAUAAAAUGAUGAUGAUGGCCUUGCUGAACUGAACCAGAUUGCCUCAGGUUGUGGCUUACGUCGCCUUGCGUUGUGAUAGGAAAGACGUCUACGACAGCUUCGCUUCUUGUCAUCAAACUCUGACAAUUCACGGAACCUAAACAAAUUUUGCAUCCUAAAUGCAGCAGCAGCAGCAGACUUUAGCCGUAGAUAAUAACAUCAGAAAGCUUAGCAAAAGCAACAAAGCUAAAUCAUGGAGAUUAAAAAUGAAUAAUUACUAAGAAUUCCCCAAGAAUCAAGAUUCAUGAGAGUGUUACGUAUCUGGAUGACAGAAUAGUGGGAGAUGUUGCAACAAGAAAAAGACUACUAUGGGGAGGCAAGAAGGAGCGGGAAGUAGAGACGCCAGGAGCACACAACCUGCUGUUUAGUUAUUAAUAUUCUUUUAGUUAGUUGGAGUACAUUCGGUUAGCAGAGUUUGUUAAUCACUUUGAGUUAGUUGGAUUAGUACAAUUUCGAUUUCAUUUCUCUCUUCUCUGCUAAUAUCAUUCUGCUUCUUAGCCUCAUCUUCUUGAUUUGUUAAGUGAUCUUAACAAUUGAUAUCAGAGCCUUAAGAUCUAACACUAUGAUGAAAAAUCAUAAGCUGAAAAACAUUGAAGAACACUGCAAGAAAUUGGAGGAGCGAAUGCAAAUCCUUCAACAAGAACUCUAAGAAUCCCUGGUCGAUCAACAAAACAAAUGGCAGGAACAACUCGGUGAACAAUUAAAGUUGGAAGACUAAUUAGAUUAGUGCUCAAAUUGAAACACUGUCGAAUCAAUUUCAAACAUUCCUUGCUCAUCAGAUGACAGGGAAGGAUGUGGGAAGCACUUCUAGAGGAAUCUUACAGGCACUAGCAAGCGGCAGUCUUGAAGGAAUGUUAUCAAGGGGAAAAGGUCCUGCUAGGGGAGAUCAAACUUAUGGCCAGGAGCAGUAGAGAGUGGUGCAUAAUGCUGCUCUUCCAAGGAUGGAUCUGACAACAUUUCGAGGAGAUAAUCCUAGGGGUUGGUUAAGGAGGUGCAAGAAGUUUUUUAGCCUCAACUCAACUCCAUUUCAGUAGUGGGUAGAACUAGCAUCUAUUUACUUGGAAGGAAAGGCAUAAAUCUGGUUUGAAGGCUAUAUGCGUGGGGUAAUUCACUGGUUACUAUGCGCACAACACAGUAACAAGCUAUCUAUGGGCCGAUUCUGGCCUAGUUUCUUUUGGGCUAGGCCAGGCCCAGUUUUUUUGGGAUUUGUACUAUUUCCUCGCGUAUUUUUAUGCCUUUUUUAUUAAUUAGUAUUGGAAUAUAUUUUUAUGUCAUUAAAAAUACAAAAUCUGGUAUUAAAAUACCCGGUUUUCGUCAAAACUUCCAAAAAUACAAAAAAAAUUGAAAAUAGAAAAAAUGUUUUUGUGCAUACGGCCAAGAGUCUCAAAGCUAAAAAAAAUCAUAUUGUGUUUUUCAUACACCAAAAAACAAUGUUUUAGCAUGCAUUUUGGCUUUAAUAACCAGUUUAUUAAAGUCCAGAGAACAUUGACCAAAAUUUAAAAAACAACAAAAAUUUUAUUUUGUUUUGUUUUAAUAUCAGGGAUUAUGAAUUUAUACGUAAAACGUAUUCCCGAUAUUAAAAAGGUAUUUUCUUUUGACAACAUAGAACAGUUAGGUUUGUACCCGAUAAGAUAAGAACCUUCUUAUUGAAGAGGGCUUUUCUUGACCCUUUAGACGGACCAACAAUUAGAAAACACAACAAGACCAUAAUUUUUAUCAAACAUUAAAACAAUGCAGCUUACCUUAGGUAGGGCGUAGUGGGGGUGCUAAUACCUUCCCUUUACGCAACCAGUCUCCGUACUCGAUCUCUGAGACUAGUUAGGGUUCCUAGUGACCAAAAUACUAGGUGGCGACUCCCAGUCCAUAUUUUACUGAUAAGAGACAAGAAUUCCUUGUCUCUCCAUAUUUGCCAGACAGACCUUUACCAUUUUCGUUGUGAAUGGUGGACGAUCGUCGCGACGCCGCACACGUGCGACAAUAUGGUUGGUGGGGCAGUUUUUUCUGGUAGAGGUAACAACAAUACCACAUCAGGUACUUGCUAAUGCAGAAAUAACAAGGUUAUUGGCAGACUAUGCAGUUGCUUUUCAAGAACCAACAUCAUUGCCACCUACCAGGAAACAUGAUCAUAGAAUUCCACUAACAACAGGAGCUCAACCCGUUAAUUGCAAACCAUAUAAGAGCUCUUUCUUUCAAAAGGGGGAGAUCGAAAUGAUGGUCAAGGAGAUGCUACACAACAACAUAAUACAACCCAAUGUUAAUCCCUUUGCCUCUUCUAUUCUUUUGGUGAAGAAGAAGGACAACACAUGGCGUUUUUGUGUAGACUUUCGACUGCUGAAUGAAAAAAUUUCUUAGUAUUCUUUGACGAUAUUCUCAUUUAUAGUUCCUCUCUAAAAGAACACAUCAGUCAUUUGAAGCAAGUCUUGGACACUCUUAAAACUAACCAACUGUAUGCGAAGAGAUUCAAGUGCACAUUUGCAGAGCCGCAAGUAGAGUAUUUGGGGCAUAUAAUUUCAGCUGAAGGGGUAGCCACUAAUCCUAAGAAGAAACAGGCAGUACAGGAGUGGCCAAUUCCAAAAUCCAUUAAGAAGCUAAGGGGAUUCCUUGGCCUAGCUGGUUAUUAUUGAAAAUUCAUUAGGAAAUUUGGUAUUAUUAGCAAGCCUUUGACAAAUAUGCUCAAGAAGAAUAACUUCAUUUGGCAUGAAGGAGCACUAGAGGCUUUUCGCAACCUGAAACAAGCAUUGUGUAAGGCUUCAAUCAUGGCCUUGCCGGACUUUACCAAACCGUUUGUGCUGGAACCAGACGCUUGUGAUACUGGAAUUGGAGCAGUACUUAGCCAGGAAGGAAGACCAUUAGCAUUUUUUAGCAAGGCCUUGGGAGUCAAACACUUGAGGCUAUCCAUUUACGAGAAGGAAUACCUUGCUAUUCUAAUGGCAGUCGACAAGUGGAGGCAUUACUUGGAACAAGAUCAGUUUGUCAUUCAAACUUAUCAUGAAAGUCUGACGUAUCUACUUGAUCAGAAAAUUCACACUCCUAUUCAAAAGAAGGGGCUAACUAAGCUAUGGGGGUUGAAUUAUCGGAUCAGGUACAGAAAAGGAAAGAAGAAUAAGGCUACAGAUGCCUUAUCUAGGAGGAAUAUACAGGGGGAAGAAGGUUGUCAAGGAAAUAAAAUGGAAGGGGGAAGGUUCACCGCCAUAACACAAAUAACUCCCUCCUGGUAUGACAAGAUUUAUGCCUCUUAUAAAGACGAUGCCAAGUUGCAGGAUAUAAUGAGGAGUAAACUGGUAGAUGCUGCACAAUCUCUCAACUUCAUAUGUUGAAGGAGUGAUUAAGUAUAAGGGGAGAGUUGUUAUAGGAUCUGCAGGGUUAUUAAAGGAAGAACUCAUCAAGUCUACCUAUGAUUCCUACAUUGGAGGACAUGCUAGGAUCCAAAAUACAUACAGACGACUUAAGGCUCACUUCUACUGGCCUUGUAUGACGAAAUUAGUGCAAGAAAUAGUUCAACACUGUGACAUUUGUAAACAAGCUAAGGCCGAAAGGGUCCCUUAUCCUGGAUUGUUACAGGCUCUUCCAGUUCCAAGUGGUUCUUGGCAGGAUAUAACCAUGGAUUUCAUAGAAGGAUUUCCAAGGUCAGAAGGCAAGGAUACCAUUAUGGUCAUUGUUGAUCGAUUUACGAAGUAUGGGCAUUUUAUCACAUUAGCCCAUCCCUUCACAGCUCAAGAGGUGGCUAAAUUUUUUCUGGAUCACAUUUAUAAGUUACAUGGCUUGCCUGCCACAGUAUUAACUGAUAGAGAUAAAAUUUUCACAAGCUUGUUCUGGAGAGAAUUGUUUAGACAUUUGGGCAUAAAGUUGUUACUAAACACCUCCUAUCAUCCUCUAACGGAUGGUCUGACCGAGAGGGUGAAUCAAUUCCUAGAGACUUACCUAAGGUGCAUCACUAUACAUUGUCCCAAAAGUGGAACACUUGGAUAUCGACAGCACAAUGGUGGUACAACAGUAGCUUCCACUCGGCUAUCAACAUGUCCCCAUUGCAAGCAUUAUAUGGAUAUGAACCCCCGGUAAGGGAGAUGGUACUCAUUGAGGCUACUCAAGUAGCUAUUGUGGAAGAAUGGAUGCAGAGAAGGCUUAAUAUGGAUCAGUUGAUCAAGGGGCUGUUGGAGGGGGUGAGGAAUAGAAUGAAACAGGUGGCAGAUAGGAGGUGUUCGGAAAGGACAUUCAUGGUGGGAGAUUGGGUCUUCCUAAAAAUUCAGCCUUACAGGCAGGGCAGUGUCAUGUACAGGAAGAAUUUCAAGCUAAAUCCCAGGUAUUAUGGCCCUUACCAAGUUAUUGAACGGAUUGGAGCUGUAGCUUACAAGCUCAAGUUACCAGAGGGGCGUGCAGUGCAUCCUGUGUUCCAUGUAUCGCUAUUAAGAAAGAAGGUGGGAGAGGUGGCCAUAGUUUCCCAAGCCCUGCGGAUCGUAGAUGAAGAAGGCAGAGUUAAGGUUUAUCCAGUCACCAUACUAGAAAGGAAGCUUAUGAAGAAAGAUAAUAGAGCCGUGGUGGCAGGCUUAAUUCAAUGGUCUAACUCAUUUCCUGAAGAUGCAACAUGGGAAGAAUUGACAGAAAUACAAUUGCAAUUUCCAGAAUUCAGUAUUGACCCUUAAUUGUCAAGAUUGUAGAUUCUUGAGCCAAGAAUCUUUUCGAGGAAGAGUUAUUGUUACGUAUCUGGAUGACAGAAUAGUGGGAGAAGUUGCAACAAGAAGAAAACUACUAUGGGGAGGCAAGAAGGAGCGGGAAGUAGAGACGCCAGGAGCACACAACCUACUGUUUAUUUAUUAAUAUUCCGUUUGUUAGUUGGAGUACAUUUAGUUAGAGUUAGUUGGAUUAAUCUGUUAGUAGUCAAUGUGGAUUACUAUGAAAGCACAUUGUAUGGAUUAUAUUGGAUAUGAAUAGAUUGCAGUCCAAUUUUGAUCUCAUUUCUCUCUUCUCUGCUAAUAUCAUUCUGCUUCUUAGCCUCAUCUUCUUGAUUUGUUAAGUGAUCUUAACAGAGAGAACCUGCCUGCUGCACUUUUUUUUGGAUUCCUGAAAAGGAUUUGUGUUCAAGAAUUCAUUAUGAAUGAUAAUUUUGUUAUUUUGAGAUUCCAAAGAGUUUUUAGUCAUUAAAAUAAUAAACUUGUAAAUAAGGAGAUAUAUUUUGUUGGCUUUUUUUUUUAAAAGGAUAUUAAAGGUAAAUGCACAUAUAAAAUUUAUGAUAUAAAAUAUAAUUUUUCAAACCAUAAUAAAAAAUAUAUAUAAUUGCGACCAAACCUAAGAAAAUCUUUUGUGAUUAUUGGUAAGAAUAAAUAAGAGCAUGGAUUAAUGGUAAAAAGAGAAUCACGUAUUAAACACAAAAGAUAAAUUAUUUUGAAUUCAACAAUUUAACAUGACAUGGAAGGAACAUGCAAUAGAGAGAGGAUCUAAUUUAACAUGUCGUACACAAUAAUAACUUAAUAUAUAGCUUCUUCUUUUUUUCUUUUUAAUUUUGGUACAAUAAAAAGCUCUUCAAAUAUGUAGAAUAAAAGCCCAAUCUACUUAGAUAUAACAUAUUUAGAGUAUGAGAUGAGAUCAGCUUAUACUGCAAAUAGUUUAUUACUGAGUUAUUGCGUAAUAAAUUAAUUGGAAUAGAGAGCAUGUAUCCCAUCAAUAUCAUCCUGAGCGAGAUCUCUUUUCUUCUUUCCAGGUGCUAUCGUUGGAUACAUGAUGGCUUCGGGAUGAUCUUUACUAUGAUAAAGGCCAAGCAGAUGUCCUAUUUCAUGAACAGUAACGGAUUCCAGGUCAGUUUGAUCCAUUGCGGGGUCAGUGCUCCAGUUCUCGUCUGCAUCGUAAUGGAGACGGCCGUCUUGUGGAAAAAAACCAUGAGCCAGUUGUUUCCCUGGUCCAUCAAAAGGAUCCUGAUCCCCAUGAUCGCCGCUGAAGAACU